Molecule: ribosomal RNA, 253 nt
Filed under: uncultured bacterium
Lineage: Bacteria
Description: partial 16S ribosomal RNA
Rfam family: Bacterial small subunit ribosomal RNA
Source: RNAcentral
UACGUAGGUGGCGAGCGUUGUCCGGAUUUACUGGGCGUAAAGCGCGCGUAGGCGGACCUGCAAGUCGGGGGUGAAAGCCCGAGGCUCAACCUCGGAACUGCCUUCGAUACUGCGGGUCUCGAGUCCGGGAGAGGUGAGUGGAAUUCCUAGUGUAGAGGUGAAAUUCGUAGAUAUUAGGAAGAACACCAGUGGCGAAGGCGACUUCCUGGCCUGUUCUUGACGCUGAGGCGCGAAAGCUAGGGUAGCAAACGGG